Molecule: long non-coding RNA, 1451 nt
Organism: Cygnus olor (mute swan)
Lineage: Eukaryota; Metazoa; Chordata; Aves; Anseriformes; Anatidae
Exons: 2
Source: RefSeq, a predicted model, not a curated record
UAAUGAAGCUGCUGCUGGAGCCCCGGCUUGCAGGGAUUUCCUUGCGGCUUCGUGUUGGGUUUGGGAUUCUUUGUCUGCUGAGCUGCAGUCUGAGCCCUCGUGGGCCCCAGGGAGAUCCGUAACGGGACAGACAUCUGUGCAUAAGAUGCCUCGCCCUGUCCGUCUGCCCCUGCAGCAAAAAGAGUGCUAGUGAGUGAGAUAUCUUUUUUUUAUUUCGUUUUCCACUCACCCCCCUGGUCUAUACGCUUCCAUGUGCCUGUCCAGCAGAACUCAUGCGGUACCACAGCAUGGACCAGAGCCAGCAGCAGCAGCAUGGAGGGCCCGAGAGGCCCAUCUCACAGAGAUGGGGGUGCUGCCACUGCGGUUUCAGCACCCAGCCCUGGCUCAGACAGAUGGGAAGUCCUUGGGAGCACGAGUGGUGGUGGUGGAAGGAACCGCGCUGGGUGCUGGCUGACUCAGAGCUGUUAUCAGCUGCCCGGGAUGUGCUGAGGCUCUGCUUCUUGCCGUCGGCUGCUGCAACUGCCGUCUGCUCGUGCCCCGGCUGAUUCGGCGUGCUUUUGUUCAGCCGGCGUGGUAAUGUGGGGUACCCGUUGUCGGGGCACAUCUGGCCGCGGGGCUGGGGUAGGAGGGAGCUCCGGUGGUGUGCCCGAGGCAUCUUUGUCGUGUUGCAGCCUGUGCUGCGGGAGUCAUGCCUUAAAAACAGGAGCACCCAGCUCACCGGGUGGGUCUGCCAGGACUUCUCUAGCCUUGAGGAUCACAGCCUAGCACAGCAGUUUCGACAUUAGGUGUGGUUUUUUGGGGCUGGGGGAGCCUGAAGAGAUUCUUGAGGUCUUUCUGUUCCUAGUGGUGGUGAGAGUAAAUGUGCUUCUGGGGCAUGCUGAGUUUUUGUCAGUGUCUUUUCUCAGCCUGGGUGGGGAAGACGGAGGGCUGGCCCUGCUGCCUGUGUGUCUGUGGUCAUCUGUAGAUGUUGCUGACCAGCACAGAGGAUUUUUUCCAAAAGCUGUUUCCUCUGAUGCAUGACACAACGUUGAGUCAACAGCCGUGUCUCUUUGAAGGUUAACAUUUUUCAUGUCCCCAAGCACUUUUGUAUUGUCUUUUGUUAUUCCUUUUCCCCUCGUCCUCCCCAGCUUUUCCCAUUUCUGAUAAUCCACCGCCGGCCACUCCUACAGAAGACGAGGCUGCCGGAGAUCUGCCCAUAUCCUCGUCAGCUUCAGCCUGGGGGCCGGGCCGCUGGCGAGCACAUGACGGUCCCGGCGCCGGUCCCCGUGCAGCGGCACACAGGGAGCUGUGUGCGGGAACAAGCGACCCUGUGUGGCUCCCGCUCCGCUGGUGGCACCCGCGGGGUGGCUUUGCCUUUCCUUAGCUCCAUCUGAAAACACCCCUUGGCUGAUCUGGAAAAUGAAAACCUGGUUGGUGGAAAGCGGAUUCUAACCUUCAGAAAGCCACUUCGA